GACGAACGCUGGCGGCGUGCUUAACACAUGCAAGUCGAACGGAAAGGCCCUGCUUUUGUGGGGUGCUCGAGUGGCGAACGCGUGAGUAACACGUGAGUAACCUGCCCUUGACUUUGGGAUAACUUCAGGAAACUGGGGCUAAUACCGGAUAGGAUCUCCUGCUGCAUGGUGGGGGUUGGAAAGUUUCGGCGGUUGGGGAUGGACUCGCGGCUUAUCAGCUUGUUGGUGGGGUAGUGGCUUACCAAGGCUUUGAAGGGUAGCCGGCCUGGGAGGGUGACCGGCCACAUUGGGCCUGAGAUACGGCCCAGACUGCUACGGGAGGCAGCAGUGGGGAAUCUUGCACAAUGGGCGGAAGCCUGAUGCAGCAACGCCGCGUGCGGGAAGACGGCCUUCGGGUUGUAAACCGCUUUCGCCUGUGACGAAGCGUGAGUGACGGUAAUGGGUAAAGAAGCACCGGCUAACUACGUG
This 468-nucleotide ribosomal RNA is filed under the name uncultured bacterium. RNAcentral describes it as "partial 16S ribosomal RNA". It matches the Rfam family "Bacterial small subunit ribosomal RNA", at positions 28 to 507 of the family's 1533-position model. The record is from RNAcentral.